UACGGGAGGCAGCAGUGGGGAAUAUUGCACAAUGGGCGAAAGCCUGAUGCAGCUAUGCCGCGUGUAUGAAGAAGGCCUUAGGGUUGUAAAGUACUUUCAUCGGGGAGGAAAAAACAAAACUAAUAAUUUUAUUUCUUGACGUUACCCGAAAAAGAAGCACCGGCUAACUCCGUGCCAGCAGCCGCGGUAAUACGGAGGGUGCUAGCGUUAAUCAGAAUUACUGGGCGUAAAGAGCACGUAGGUGGUUUUUUUAAGUCAGAUGUGAAAUCCCUGGGCUUAACCUAGGAACUGCAUUUUGAAACUGAAAUACUAGAGUAUCGUAGGGGGAGGUAGAAUUCUAGGUGUAGCGGUGAAAUGCGUAGAUAUCUGGAGGAAUACCUGUGGCGAAAGCGGCCUCCUAAACGAAUACUGACACUGAGGGUGCGAAAGCGUGGGGAGCAAACGAGGGAUUAGAUACCCGU
Molecule: ribosomal RNA, 461 nt
Filed under: uncultured bacterium
Lineage: Bacteria
Description: bacterial SSU rRNA
Rfam family: Bacterial small subunit ribosomal RNA
Source: RNAcentral